Malus domestica (apple) is the source of this 778-nucleotide long non-coding RNA. RefSeq lists it as uncharacterized. Lineage: Eukaryota; Viridiplantae; Streptophyta; Magnoliopsida; Rosales; Rosaceae. The record is from RefSeq and is a predicted model, not a curated record.
GGAAAGAAUGGGGGAAGAUGGAAGAUGCAGAGAUUGGAGAAGGAAGAGAGAGACAGAAGGAUGGCUAGAAAGAGGUGGGAGUCGGGCUACUGCUGACCCUAAGGCGGAGCAAGGAGCGACGGCUAAGAGGAUUUCUUUUUCGUAAAGGCAAAGAGGAAGAAAUGUUUGAGAGAGAGAGAGAGCGUGUUAGCAUUAAUUUAAUUUAUUUUUUAUUUAUAAUAUUUAAUUUACUUGAUGACUAUAUUUAGCAUACGUAUAUUACCAUUUAUAUUGUGACAUGUGAUAUACCAUCAUGUUCCAGUCACAUUGAAAAAUCUCUCAAUUCACAAUCUCUCUAAACCCUAACACACCCCCCACCCCCCAAAAAAAAAAAACCACAAAAAUCCCAAACUCGGUCCACCCAAUCUCUGCCCCUUGGGAGCUGACACUACCAGAAAGUUUAUGGUUCACGCAACCUUCGCAGGGAGAGGGAGAGAGAAAGGAGCGGUGGUACAGGCAUGGCCCGAUGCGGACUGGCAGAACUAAACAGGGAGAGGGAGAGGAAGGAGUGGCGGAAUUUCAGGGGUCGGAGUUUCAGGGCCGCGCGAGGAAUUCGGGGGUUGGAAUUUCAGGAUUUCUGGAUUUUCUACGGCGGAUGAAAGAUUGGCUGCAGUCCUCAAAGCUUUCCUCCACUCGCGCACCUUGCCCAUACUGUCCUUGAAACGUUUUUCAAGUUGAGCAAAUGCAUCUGCAUAACUCCCCUUUUGUUUUCGCACAUCUGAUGGAUUGAUGUUGUAAA